RNAcentral lists this signal recognition particle RNA (349 nucleotides) under Otolemur garnettii (small-eared galago). RNAcentral describes it as "Metazoan signal recognition particle RNA". It matches the Rfam family "Metazoan signal recognition particle RNA". Rfam says of the family: The signal recognition particle (SRP) is a universally conserved ribonucleoprotein. It is involved in the co-translational targeting of proteins to membranes. Lineage: Eukaryota; Metazoa; Chordata; Mammalia; Primates; Galagidae. The record is from Rfam by way of RNAcentral.
GCCAGGCGUUGUGGCGGGCGCCUGUGGUCCCAGCUACUUGGGAGGCUGAGGCAGGAGACUCGCUUGAGCCCAGGAGUUGGAGGUUGCUAUGAGCUGUGAUGCCAUGGCACUCUACCCAGGGGGAUAGCUUGAGGCUCUGUCUCAAAAAAAAAAAAAAAAAUUUUUUUUAUUUAUUAUCAAAUCAUAACUGUGUACAUUAAUAUUGCAAGGGCACAUGUCAAUCUAUUAAGAGUGUAAAUGUCUUUUUUGGGGGGACAGAGCCUCAAGCUGUCACCCUGGGUAGAGUGCUGUGGCAUCACAGUUCACAGCAACCUCCAACUCCUGGGCUCAAGCGAUUCUCCUGCCUCUG